RNAcentral lists this ribosomal RNA (313 nucleotides) under uncultured Abiotrophia sp. RNAcentral describes it as "bacterial SSU rRNA". It matches the Rfam family "Bacterial small subunit ribosomal RNA", at positions 28 to 325 of the family's 1533-position model. Lineage: Bacteria; Bacillati; Bacillota; Bacilli; Lactobacillales; Aerococcaceae. The record is from RNAcentral.
GACGAACGCUGGCGGCGUGCCUAAUACAUGCAAGUCGAACGAACCGCGACUAGGUGCUUGCACUUGGUCAAGGUGAGUGGCGAACGGGUGAGUAACACGUGGGUAACCUACCUCAUAGUGGGGGAUAACAGUCGGAAACGACUGCUAAUACCGCAUAGGACAUGGAAUCACAUGAUUCUGUGAGGAAAGGUGGCGCAAGCUAUCGAUAAGAGAUGGACCCGCGGUGCAUUAACUAGCUGGUAGCGUAACGGCCUACCAAGGCGAUGAUGCAUAGCCGACCUGAGAGGGUGAUCGGCCACCUUGGGACUGAGAC